Molecule: unclassified non-coding RNA, 230 nt
Filed under: Hevea brasiliensis (rubber tree)
Lineage: Eukaryota; Viridiplantae; Streptophyta; Magnoliopsida; Malpighiales; Euphorbiaceae
Source: RNAcentral
UUUAUAAUUGCUUGACUUUAGUUUGAACAUUAAAUGACUAUUCAAGUUUUAACAUAUUAGUACUUGAAUGCUUAUUAGUUAUUAUUAUUUUUAGUUUUAUGUUAUUUGAAGUUUGAUGGAAUAUUCAUUUUUUUUUUUGUGCCUCAUCUCGCUCAGGCGUGCGCCUUCUCCUUGUGCCUUGCGCCUUGGCUCAAGGACCCCUUGGUGCCUUAGUGCGCCUUGAGCCUUUA